GACGAACGCUGGCGGCGUGCUUAACACAUGCAAGUCGAACGGAAAGGCCUGCUUUCCCUUGUGGAUUGCGGGUACGCGGGUGGCGAACGGGUGAGUAACACGCGAGUGAUCUGCCCCCAACUUGGGUAUAAGCCUGGGAAACUAGGUCGAAUUCCCGAUAGGACUGCAGGGUGGUGCCGGUGGUGGAAAACGAGUUUCCAGUGGUUGGGGCUGAGCUCGCGGCCUAGCAGCUUGUUGGUGUGGUAACGGACUACCAAGGCGGCGACGGGUAGCCGGCCUGGGAGGGUGGACGCUCGCACUGGGACUGGGUCACGACCCCUACUCCUGCGAGCAGCAGCGAUGGUUACUCUUGGACCGUAAGCCGGAGCCUGAUGCGCCGAGUCCGUGUUGAGGAUCUCGGGCUUCGAGUUGUCAACUCCUUUCGACCGAGAGGAAGCUAACUGGUUGUACGGGUGGUGACGGUAGUGGUAGAAGAAGCCCCGGCUAACUACGUG
This 494-nucleotide ribosomal RNA is filed under the name uncultured bacterium. Its description in RNAcentral is "partial 16S ribosomal RNA". It matches the Rfam family "Bacterial small subunit ribosomal RNA", at positions 28 to 507 of the family's 1533-position model. The record is from RNAcentral.